This 334-nucleotide unclassified non-coding RNA is filed under the name Hevea brasiliensis (rubber tree). Lineage: Eukaryota; Viridiplantae; Streptophyta; Magnoliopsida; Malpighiales; Euphorbiaceae. The record is from RNAcentral.
GUACAGGUUCCUGCUUCCACAUUACACUGCUACCGUUUAACAUCACUGACAUUGACGACACCACACUGGCACUGGACGACCCCGAAACGUGGCUCAAAUCAUUCGCGGGACUUGAAAUCAUUGCUGGGAUUAUAGUUGUGCUGGUUUAAUGGCGAACUCUGAGACGAGGACGUUUCAGAGUUGAUAACAAUCGGUUCAAUAGGAGAAGCAGGAACCUGUACGGGCACACAAAAUUGAUCGAGAAGGCACAUCACCAGUUUCUCCGCAUCGGACUGUACAAUUGGAGGGAAAUUCUGCGAUAAAGCCAGCAAAAAAGCCCUGGAAAUAGCCAAAU